RNAcentral lists this long non-coding RNA (1800 nucleotides) under Felis catus (domestic cat). Its description in RNAcentral is "lncRNA (ENSFCAG00000052461.1)". Lineage: Eukaryota; Metazoa; Chordata; Mammalia; Carnivora; Felidae. The record is from RNAcentral.
ACUUGUUAAGUUGCAGAUUUUGUAUUUUUAGGAAAAAUCCGUAUUUUUACGGAAAUCUGUAUUUUUAGGAAAAUGUCCAGGUGCCUCUAAUCUGGAAAUGGGGAUUGAAACCUCAGGAUAGGUUUCUCCACCUAAAAAAGGAGAAUGAAGCAAAGACACACUUUAGAAACUUUUCCUUGAUCCAUCCAUUAGCCAUCCAAUGGUAAAACUCUCUUCUGUCUGAUUUAAAGUCUGCAAUCUAAGUAAAACUCCCUGCAUUGGAGUGGGUUAAAUAAUUGACACAGAGCUUGAGUCUUGAAGUUGGAAAGGUACUUUCACAUGUCGCAGGCGCUGAGUGUUUGGAUCAGGAAUGUGGUCUGGGUGACUUCCAGGCAUAGCCUGCCUGUGCCAGGCUGGCAGGUUCUCAGCAGGACCCAGCCCCUGUCUCCCCUGGCUUCUAAGAGCUCUAUCUCUGCCAUGUGGGAAGGAAACCGUCUAGGUCUAGAAAUACAGCAAAGGACUGAAUAUAUCUGUGAAAGUGAGCAGUCUGGAAUCAGGGAUGAUUAGCACUCAAAAGAAUGAGAGAUUGUCCUGUUUCUUCUCUGACCACUUUAGAGGUGGGAGAGCUGAGGCCCAAGAUCUGUUCCAUGGCUGGGGACGAGACCCUUCAAGUCACUCAAGUCUGUGCCCAUCCUACUCAGAUGACUCUUCAGAUAGCACCGACCUUGGGCCCCUUGGAUCUCCUCUCGGUGUGGAGCAGGAGACCUGCAGGUGGUUAUUUUUUCUGGGCUCUCGCGUGGCUCUGCCCAGCUUUCCCAGUCUAGAGAAGUGCUGGUGACAGGGCGUGCCGGUGGGUGCCCCUCUGGUUAGUUCUGCCUCAUGCCGGGAGGGGGGAGGGGUGACUAGGGAGGUGCCCCCAACCUUCACCCUUGGCACCACACCACCCUCCACUCUUCUGGGCCCCACAGGUUGGGGGGCCCACACUGGCUUUCUCCUUCUCUUCCCCUCCCCCACACCCUCCCCACUGCCCCCUCCUCUGCCCAGCCCAGGAAGGAGGUGGAAAUAAUUAACACCUAAGUGGAAACUCUUUCACAAGGGUUUGUGAGCCCCUCCACGAAUUUGCAUUUUAAACCUUCUGUCCCUAAUUGUGGAAUGCAAGCCUUUGUCUCCUCUGACACGAAGGGCUGACAAUGGGAAUCAGGUGAAGAGGGCCCCCUCCCCACCCCAAACAUCUACCUCUGAGCGCGGUGCAGAUUAAACCCAUGCUGGAGGAGUGUCACCCCUGACAGUUGGUUUCUGGAAGUGAGCUACGUAGCUGUCUGUGACCUGGGGUCCAGCCGUCUCCACACUACAACGGGCCCAGCCUGGCACUUUUGCCCUCAAGACACUGUCCUGUGUGCAGUGGGGGUUGGGGGCCUGGAGAUAGGUCUACACCUGGUAGCAGGGGCAGAGGACCCCUGAGAGGGGGUGAGCAGCUUGAGUGGGAACCUUCCAAUUAAUUUCUUGAAGGAGUAGAACAGUCACCAAAAAAUUCGAAAGGUUCAGAAGUAAAAAGCAAAUGUUCCUCUUACCCCUUGUUCCCAGAUUCCCCCCCCACCCCCGACCUCGUGAAGCUGCGUGCACGUGUGUGUGCGUGCAUGUGUACCACACUUACGUUUAAUGAUAGUCUAUGGAACACACAUGUUCAUGCUUUUUUUCAGGUCCUUUUCUGGCCUACUUACUUGCUGUGAGACCUGUAAUGUCAUUCAUUUCCUUGUGCUCAAUCUCAUCUGUAAAAUGGGGGGCAAUAAAAAUACUUACCUCACGAGAAUGUUGUGAGGA